UUACAAUAAGUGAACUACUAACUAAUGAAUCUUUCAUUUGAACGUGCAGAAAGCACUAUAACUAACUAUGGUUGAUAAAACCUAAAUUUUCAACGAUGGAUGUCUAGGUUCCCAUAACGAUGAAGAACGCAGCGAAAAUGCGAUAUGCAGUGUGAAUUGCAGAACCACGAAUCAUCGGAUUUUUGAAUGUAACUUACGUAGGCAACCCCUACAUGUUUGGUUCAGUGUGCGCAACAAACUAACCGAACCUCAAUGCAAGAGAAGUUCUCUUGUCAAGUACAUGCUCUUAGCAGCAGUCACAUUCGUGUGAGUUGUUGGGAGAAACAAAGACUUAUUUGCACCUGAACUCAAGCAAGAUGACCCGCUGAACUUAAGAUUAUCAGUA
RNAcentral lists this ribosomal RNA (385 nucleotides) under Amphileptus marinus. Its description in RNAcentral is "eukaryotic LSU rRNA". The stretch from base 85 to 230 matches the Rfam family "5.8S ribosomal RNA". The record is from RNAcentral. Lineage: Eukaryota; Ciliophora; Litostomatea; Pleurostomatida; Amphileptidae.